CUUUUCUUUUCAAGCUUUAACCCAUUAACAAGGUCAUGAAAACAAACUAAACCUCUAGCGCCUUAGACCAGGCAUGGCCAACCAACCAAUAAAAUACUGUGAAUUUGGGAAAGCUGUGGAAUGAAUUUCUACAUUACUUGGACCUAAACUGUUCUCUUAUCUUGAAUUACACCUUGGAAGACGUGAAAUGGUAAUAACCCCUAUAUCCGCAAGGAAGCUAAACGUUUAUUUUAAUUCAACUUGAAGAUACAUUGAUCAAUGACGUUAAUAUCAAGUUAUUUGUAUAUAAUUCACUUGCUUGAAACCAG
This is a non-coding RNA of Pelobates cultripes (western spadefoot toad), 308 nucleotides long. The record is from the annotation of a GenBank genome assembly. NCBI's taxonomy places the organism in Eukaryota, Metazoa, Chordata, Amphibia, Anura, Pelobatidae.